Long non-coding RNA from Gossypium arboreum, 381 nucleotides. RefSeq lists it as uncharacterized. The record is from RefSeq and is a predicted model, not a curated record. The transcript has 2 exons. Lineage: Eukaryota; Viridiplantae; Streptophyta; Magnoliopsida; Malvales; Malvaceae.
UCAUGAUAAGAAUUUCAUGUCUUUUGUAUUAAAGAAUUAAAUGGAUGAAAUAUGAAGUUUUAUUAAAAGAAAAAGGGGUGAAAAGAACAAAGUUUUGUCCAUCUUUGUUCAUCAUAGCUGAAAGUUAGAGAAGAGAAAGGAGAGGAGAAAGCUCUUGAGUAUUUGGUCAUUAGGAGGAGGAAAAUUGAAGGAAAUCCCCAACCAUAGUGGGCUUGGAGCUGUGAGGGAAUUUGGAGUGACCACCCGUUCUGAAAGUUUGAUUUUCUUCUGGUGAACUGGACAUCCUUUUAUUUACGUUUGAAGUUUUGGGUUUUUAAAUGUAAUAAGGCCGCUUAAUUAUUUUUGAUGGUUUUAAUAUGUAUUAGGUAAUACUUAUUUUAA